This 75-nucleotide transfer RNA is filed under the name bacterium. Its description in RNAcentral is "tRNA-Gln". It matches the Rfam family "tRNA". From Rfam's summary of the family: Transfer RNA (tRNA) molecules are approximately 80 nucleotides in length. Their secondary structure includes four short double-helical elements and three loops (D, anti-codon, and T loops). Further hydrogen bonds mediate the characteristic L-shaped molecular structure. tRNAs have two regions of fundamental functional importance: the anti-codon, which is responsible for specific mRNA codon recognition, and the 3' end, to which the tRNAs corresponding amino acid is attached (by aminoacyl-tRNA synthetases). tRNAs cope with the degeneracy of the genetic code in two manners: having more than one tRNA (with a specific anti-codon) for a particular amino acid; and 'wobble' base-pairing, i.e. permitting non-standard base-pairing at the 3rd anti-codon position. The record is from RNAcentral.
UGGGGAAUAUUUUAAUCGGUAGAAAAGCGGACUUUGACUCCGUUAGUAUUGGUUCGAGUCCAGUUUCCCCAGCCA